GAUGAACGCUAGCGGGAGGCCUAACACAUGCAAGCCGAGCGGUAUUGUUUCUUCGGAAAUGAGAGAGCGGCGUACGGGUGCGGAACACGUGUGCAACCUGCCUUUAUCUGGGGGAUAGCCUUUCGAAAGGAAGAUUAAUACUCCAUAACAUAUUGAUUGGCAUCAAUUAAUAUUGAAAGCUCCGGCGGAUAGAGAUGGGCACGCGCAAGAUUAGCUAGUUGGUGAGGUAACGGCUCACCAAGGCGAUGAUCUUUAGGGGGCCUGAGAGGGUGAUCCCCCACACUGGUACUGAGACACGGACCAGACUCCUACGGGAGGCAGCAGUGAGGAAUAUUGGUCAAUGGGUGCAAGCCUGAACCAGCCAUCCCGCGUGAAGGACGACUGCCCUAUGGGUUGUAAACUUCUUUUGUAUAGGGAUAAACCUACCCUCGUGAGGGUAGCUGAAGGUACUAUACGAAUAAGCACCGGCUAACUCCGUGCCAGCAGCCGCGGUAAUACGGAGGGCGCAAGCGUUAUCCGGAUUUAUUGGGUUUAAAGGGUCCGUAGGCGGACUUAUAAGUCAGUGGUGAAAGCCUGUCGCUUAACGAUAGAACUGCCAUUGAUACUGUAAGUCUUGAGUAUAUUUGAGGUAGCUGGAAUAAGUAGUGUAGCGGUGAAAUGCAUAGAUAUUACUUAGAACACCAAUUGCGAAGGCAGGUUACCAAGAUAUAACUGACGCUGAGGGACGAAAGCGUGGGGAGCGAACAGGAUUAGAUACCCUGGUAGUCCACGCCGUAAACGAUGCUAACUCGUUUUUGGGCUUUAGGGUUCAGAGACCAAGCGAAAGUGAUAAGUUAGCCACCUGGGGAGUACGCUCGCAAGAGUGAAACUCAAAGGAAUUGACGGGGGCCCGCACAAGCGGUGGAUUAUGUGGUUUAAUUCGAUGAUACGCGAGGAACCUUACCAAGACUUAAAUGGGAAUUGACAGCUUUAGAAAUAGAGCUUUCUUCGGACAAUUUUCAAGGUGCUGCAUGGUUGUCGUCAGCUCGUGCCGUGAGGUGUUAGGUUAAGUCCUGCAACGAGCGCAACCCCUGUCACUAGUUGCCAUCAUUCAGUUGGGGACUCUAGUGAGACUGCCUACGCAAGUAGAGAGGAAGGUGGGGAUGACGUCAAAUCAUCACGGCCCUUACGUCUUGGGCCACACACGUAAUACAAUGGCCGGUACAGAGGGCAGCUACACAGCGAUGUGAUGCAAAUCUCGAAAGCCGGUCUCAGUUCGGAUUGGAGUCUGCAACUCGACUCUAUGAAGCUGGAAUCGCUAGUAAUCGCGCAUCAGCCAUGGCGCGGUGAAUACGUUCCCGGGCCU
Molecule: ribosomal RNA, 1345 nt
Filed under: uncultured bacterium
Lineage: Bacteria
Description: bacterial SSU rRNA
Rfam family: Bacterial small subunit ribosomal RNA
Source: RNAcentral